RNAcentral lists this ribosomal RNA (1255 nucleotides) under Uromedina eumorphophaga. RNAcentral describes it as "eukaryotic LSU rRNA". It matches the Rfam family "Eukaryotic large subunit ribosomal RNA", at positions 156 to 1219 of the family's 3401-position model. Lineage: Eukaryota; Metazoa; Arthropoda; Insecta; Diptera; Tachinidae. The record is from RNAcentral.
GAAUGUCAAAUUUCUAGUAUGAGAAAUAAACGAUUUAAGUCCUUCUUAAAUGAGGCCAUUUACCCAUAGAGGGUGCCAGGCCCGUAUAACGUUAAUGAUUACUAGAUGGCAUUUCCAAAGAGUCGUGUUGCUUGAUAGUGCAGCACUAAGUGGGUGGUAAACUCCAUCUAAAACUAAAUAUAACCAUGAGACCGAUAGUAAACAAGUACCGUGAGGGAAAGUUGAAAAGAACUCUGAAUAGAGAGUUAAAUAGUACGUGAAACUGCUUAGAGGUUAAGCCCGAUGAACCUGAAUAUCCGUUAUGGAAAAUUCAUCAUUAUGAUUUUAAUAUUUAUAAUAUUAUGAUAAUGGUGUGCAUUUUUUCUAUAGAGGACAUUGUAAUCCAUUAACAUUAAUUGAAUUUAUCAAAAGAUCAAUUGCGCUAGUUUAUUCAAAUUAUUUUGCUUGCAAUUUAACAUAGGAUAAAUGCUUUUGAUUUGAUAAAGUGUUGAUGGAUUUAUUAUAUAUAGUGCUGGAAUAUUUAUAUUCUAUAAUAGCAUAUUAAUUAAUAAUUUUUAUGUUUAUUAUAUGCACUUGUAUGAUUAACAAUGCGAAAGAUUCAGGAUACCUUCGGGACCCGUCUUGAAACACGGACCAAGGAGUCUAACAUAUUUGCAAGUUAUUGGGAAUAAAAACCUAAUAGCGAAAUUAACAUAACUUAUAAUUAAUGGGAUUAGUUUUUAGCCUAUUUAUAGUCUAUUAAUUCAAUCCCGGGGCGUUCUAUACAGUUAUGUAUAAUAAUAUUUAUAUUAUUUAUACCUCUAACUAGAGCGUACCUUGAGCAUAUAUGCUGUGACCCGAAAGAUGGUGAACUAUACUUGAUCAGGUUGAAGUCAGGGGAAACCCUGAUGGAAGACCGAAACAGUUCUGACGUGCAAAUCGAUUGUCAGAAUUGAGUAUAGGGGCGAAAGACCAAUCGAACCAUCUAGUAGCUGGUUCCCUCCGAAGUUUCCCUCAGGAUAGCUGGUGCAUUUAAAAAUUAUGUAAAAUAAUCUUAUCUGGUAAAGCGAAUGAUUAGAGGCCUUAGGGUCGAAACGACCUUAACCUAUUCUCAAACUUUAAAUGGGUAAGAACCUCACCUUUCUUGGUAUGAAGGUUGUGGUUGUGAUAUAAUGUGCCCAGUGGGCCACUUUUGGUAAGCAGAACUGGCGCUGUGGGAUGAACCAAACGUAAUGUUACGGUGCCCAAAUUAACAACUCAUGCAGAUACCAUGAAA